This is a long non-coding RNA of Bombyx mori (domestic silkworm), 435 nucleotides long. RefSeq lists it as uncharacterized. The record is from RefSeq and is a predicted model, not a curated record. NCBI's taxonomy places the organism in Eukaryota, Metazoa, Arthropoda, Insecta, Lepidoptera, Bombycidae. The transcript has 2 exons.
UCUCUUCGGUUUUUGCGAUUCGUAGACAUGAUUAAAACUACUUUUACGGCUCAUUCUAGGGUUUUUUAUUGUUAUUUUGUUAUUUCCGACGUUUCGAAUGCUUUAUGAAUUUCAUGGUCACGGGUGACGGACUUUUGUGCACAGUAAAUAAUGUAUGUAUAAUGAGUUAUCGAUAUAACUAUAUAUCGACAUUAAACUGGCGUUUAUAGAUGGCUACUAAUUUAAAUGUGAUCUUUAUGAAUAAAACAGUAUGAUAAAGAACGCUUAUCUGAGAUUUCAAUCAAAAUGAAUAAGGAAGUUAAUGUGAUUACAAGGAACAUUCAACUCAACGACAAAAAUAAUAGUUCUUUAAAUUAAUUAUUUUAAAAUUUAUCAAGAUAGUUCAACAAUAUAUUAUUACAAUUCAAUGAAUAAAUCUAAACAAAAUCUGAUAAA